This 253-nucleotide ribosomal RNA is filed under the name uncultured bacterium. Its description in RNAcentral is "partial 16S ribosomal RNA". It matches the Rfam family "Bacterial small subunit ribosomal RNA", at positions 524 to 776 of the family's 1533-position model. The record is from RNAcentral.
GACGAAGGAUCCAAGCGUUAUCCGGAUUUAUUGGGCUUAAAGGGCGCGUAGGCGGAUUGAUAAGUCAGUGGUGAAAGCCUGUUGCUUAACAGCAGAACUGCCAUUGAUACUGUCAAUCUUGAAUAUGUUUGAUGUGGGCGGAAUAUGACAUGUAGCGGUGAAAUGCUUAGAUAUGUCAUAGAACACCGAUUGCGAAGGCGGCUCACAAGGCCAUUAUUGACGCUGAGGCACGAAAGCGUGGGGAGCAAACAGG